AGCAUAUCAUUUUCAUCAUCAUUUGCAGUCCCUUUUUUUUUUAGCUCAUUCACCAAGUGGAUCGCUUUGUCGAGGUGAUCCGAGAGCCCGAUGUAUUUCAAAGUGUUGACAAGUCCACAAAAAUUAGCUACGAUAAAUAUCGAUCCAUGCUCAAGUAUCGAGAUUCGAUCUUGAACUUCUUAGUAGAUUUGAUCUUGUUCAUAGAUAUGAUCUAUGAUUUUUGAUAUCAGAAUAUACAUAUAUUUUUAUGUCAUACGAUUCAUGAUAAGUAGUUUUAGAUCAAAUCUAAUGCAUGCUAGGUUAAUUUGAUUAAUCU
This 316-nucleotide long non-coding RNA is filed under the name Elaeis guineensis (African oil palm). RNAcentral describes it as "long non-coding RNA (EGUI_LNC037881)". Lineage: Eukaryota; Viridiplantae; Streptophyta; Magnoliopsida; Arecales; Arecaceae. The record is from RNAcentral.